GUAGACUCGGCCAUUUCUCUCGCGAAGCGUACCAACUCGUUCGGCCGCGACAUUUUUUUCCGACAAACCGUGCGGGUAUUCCCGGAAACUUUGCAAAAUAACGCGACGCAAAAGGAUGAUACACUCCGGGCGCACCAGGCUCGAGAAAAAAGUAAGUCGCGUGGGCGUAGGAGGAGGGGGCCAGGUCGGGCAAGGGGUACAAGCGGUCGAGGAAUCCGGUGCAAGCGGUCAAUGGUGGAGGCAACAGCAUCCAUCCUAUCAUCAUCAUCACCAUCAUCAUCAUCAUCACCAACAUCAUCACCAUUAUCAUCAUCAGGCCGGUUAUUACACGUCGCAAUCGCAUACUCACAACAAUCCUGUCACUACCAUGAAGCAGUCUUACAUGCAGCUAACAUGGGUGUUUCAUGACGACGAGGCGCAGAUUAAUAAGAAACUGCCAAAAGAAUUGCUUCUUAGAAUCCUGUCGUAUCUCGACGUGGUGUCACUAUGCCGAUGCGCGCAAGUGAGCAAAGCCUGGAACGUGUUGGCGCUAGAUGGAUCCAAUUGGCAGAGAAUCGAUCUGUUCGAUUUCCAACGAGAUGUGGAGGGACCAGUUAUAGAAAAUAUCUCGAGACGAUGCGGCGGUUUCCUGAGACAGUUGUCCCUCAGGGGAUGCCAGAGCAUCGGGAACAAUUCCAUGCGCACGUUGGCUCAAUCGUGUCCAAACAUCGAGGAACUAAACCUGAGCCAGUGUAAAAAGAUCUCAGACGCCACCUGCGCGGCACUCAGCAGUCACUGUCCGAAACUCCAACGACUGAACUUGGACUCGUGUCCCGAAAUAACGGACAUUUCCCUGAAGGAUCUCUCGGAGGGUUGUCCCCUUCUCACUCACAUCAACCUGUCCUGGUGUGAGUUACUUACCGACAACGGAGUCGAAGCAUUGGCGAGAGGUUGCAACGAACUCCGUAGCUUUCUCUGCAAAGGCUGCCGUCAGUUGACGGACAGGGCUGUCAAAUGUCUGGCCCUUUACUGCCCCAAUUUGGAGGCGAUCAAUCUACACGAAUGCAGGAAUAUAACGGACGAUGCGGUUCGAGAACUCAGCGAACAGUGUCCACGAUUGCAUUACGUCUGUCUGUCGAAUUGUCCUAAUCUAACGGACGCGUCCCUGGUUACCCUGGCACAGCACUGUCCGCUCCUCAGCGUCCUCGAAUGCGUGGCUUGCACUCAUUUCACCGACGCGGGAUUUCAGGCCCUCGCGAAAAAUUGCAGACUGCUAGAAAAGAUGGACCUGGAAGAGUGCCUUUUAAUAACAGACGCCACGCUCAUUCACCUGGCCAUGGGAUGUCCAAGGUUGGAGAAAUUGAGUCUGUCGCACUGCGAACUGAUCACCGACGAGGGCAUCCGGCAAUUGGCUCUUUCGCCGUGUGCGGCCGAACAUCUGGCGGUGCUGGAAUUGGACAACUGCCCCCUCAUCACAGAUGCUAGUCUCGAUCACCUUCUACAGGCCUGCCACAAUCUCGAGCGCAUCGAGCUUUACGACUGUCAACUGAUCACCAGGGCUGGCAUACGUAGACUCAGAACUCAUUUGCCGAACAUCAAAGUCCACGCGUAUUUCGCGCCGGUAACACCUCCGCCAAGCGCAGGAGCAUCACGGCAACGAUAUUGCCGGUGCUGUGUCAUUCUGUGAUUCUGCAUACGCACGUGACUCUGAUGCAAAUCGUCCGAUGUACCACACUACCGGUGGACCUUUCAGUGAUCGCUGGUUGCGGCAAUCGUGGGACCUUCUGUUCCGAUAACCAGAAGACCAGACCCCGAGACUCUGGGUCGUCGACAACAGUGAGAACGAGCCUCAUCGUGAAUCGCGACUCCUUCGAUAACCAUUCGACUUACAACACGCAACGAGUGCAACAACAAAGAUAAGCGAUGCUCGUUACGUGCACGAUGUGUAAUCAUCAGCGAUACGCGCAAGGGAAUCAGCAGGUGUAGAUCAGAUUUAACUUAGGCAGACGGACAAAAAAUGGACAAUUUCGCCACUUUAUCCGCAACCGUGAUACGGUUCUCGACCUCGCAGGGUCUCACCGAGGAACCUGUUUCCGUUCUUUCGUCCACGUUCUUCCUUCAAAUUUUAUUUGCGCUCCCGAACCUAAUUUUAUUACAUGGCAAAUUGUAAUUCUAACUCGACAUUUUUCUCCUCGAUGUAAUUUUACCGAAGUAUUUUAACUAUAACAGGAUUGCGAACGUAGUACUCUUGCCAUGAGAUGCAACACGAAAAACGCAACGAAAUUAGGUUCGCGAUGUUCGGAGCGCAAUGUUCAUUGCAGGAUUGUCGGGUGUCUCGAUCGAGUUCGGCUCAAAAUAUGAAGUCAAUCGCAGUGCCUGAAUCGCCGCAAAAUUGUAAUAUAGUAGUCGAAAUUCCACGGGUAAUCACAGUGUGGCGGGGGAUGUUAGACAAACGAGAUGAAAACGAAAGAAACUAAACUUAUCCUAUCGAUCGCCUGACAAUCAUGCAUCACUUGUUCGGUACUAUUACCGAAUGAAAGUUACCCAAAAAUCGACGCAGUUGUCUUCAGAAUCUGAGUAUCGUUUAACCGCUUCGUUGAUCAAAUUUUAAAAGAACGAUUAGAUACUAAGUAUUCAGAUUUUGGAAGACGUGUUUAGAGUACUACAGUUCGAAAUUUUUCAAGGAAGAACGAAUAAAAUACUAAACGAUAGUAUUACAACAAUCAUCCUGUUAAGAUAAUUUGCAAUUCUAUUUGAUUUGUGGCACUCGAACGUCCAUCGCAAUUACUUAAUUCCUCGAUAUUGGACACCCGUCAAAAAUCGUCCGUGGCAAAGACAGAAAAAGCAAACUAUCCAGAAAAGAUCGGUAGUUUCUUAUUUUUCAUACUCGAUCGUGAAAAUGUUAUUUUAAUAAGACCGUUGGUGAUCGAUCACCGAGACGUGCCUGGCAGAUCUCGACGAUCGAUCAUGAACGAAUCGGUGAAUCGGCGUGAUCGGUUAGUACAACAAAAUUGUAAUGUCGAGUAUCGUGUAGAAUUGAGUCCCGUUACGUCGACAAAUUUACGAGACGCGAGAGCCUGUCGGGAAUCCCGUUGUUCGGGCAUAAAGGGAAUCACGACCGAGUUUUCGAAAACGGUGUAUGUACACUGGCGAGCACGGUACGCUUUCCUAGGGAAUGAUACGGGGGAAACUGACCCCGUUGCUUUUCGCUAGUAGAUCUGAUCUAGAAAUUUUUCAAUUCGGCUACGUGAAAAUUAGCCAACUUUUUCAUGGAAUAUUGGCAAUCAGAAUUUUUUGGAAAAUGCUCCCCUACGCUUGUCAGCCAAAGGAAGCCGUUGCACCGAAGUGUACAUAAUCGAGAGAUAACGAAUCAUGAAUCGUCGAUAAAUUGAUAGCGAAGCGUACAAAAUAGAAACAAGAAACAAUUGUACGACCGAUUGCAGUGUUGUGUAAGUCUGUUGUAAAGAACACGUCGUCGCGAAGAGGUGUCGUCGACGUUGAAAAUAAUGACGCGAAUAAGAGAUGGGAAGCUGAAGAGAAAAGCUUUGAAACCGAGUGAUCGAACAAGUGUUUGGCUGUGCAGUAGAAUAGGAAAGAGACAGAGAAAGAACGUUAGAGAGAAAGUGAGUUUAAAGAGAGAAAGAAUGAGAGAACGAGAGAGGGUGUGAGAGACAAAGAUUCAACAUGUUAAUCGAAGCCAGCGAAAGUAUAAUUACCAUGUGUCCCCAGUUAUAUGUGUUUUAUCCUGUGUACCCACGAAUCAUUUUUAUUCUCCUUUUCGGAAAAAUCGAAACAAAACGAGCGUAAUUCGGUAUAGUCGAAAUCCUUUAACAAAUGGUCUACGCGUGUCGGCCUACACGUGCCUCCCGGACAAAAAGAUUAAGAAACAGACACAGGUUCGCGUACGAAUACUGUAGCUGAUUAUACAUUGACAUUUUCGCUGCUUCGACAAGCUACAGUCUACCAUGUAUAUAUUUUCAUUAAUGUAUGUAUAAUAAAAAAAAAGUAUAUUCGAGA
RNAcentral lists this unclassified non-coding RNA (3996 nucleotides) under Megachile rotundata (alfalfa leafcutting bee). RNAcentral describes it as "f-box/LRR-repeat protein 20, transcript variant X5". The record is from RNAcentral. Lineage: Eukaryota; Metazoa; Arthropoda; Insecta; Hymenoptera; Megachilidae.